Dunckerocampus dactyliophorus (ringed pipefish) is the source of this 20182-nucleotide RNA transcript. It is a transcript of the gene named heparanase 2, with no coding region annotated. Lineage: Eukaryota; Metazoa; Chordata; Actinopteri; Syngnathiformes; Syngnathidae. The record is from RefSeq and is a predicted model, not a curated record. The transcript is spliced from 21 exons.
UGUUCUGUUUUGUAAUUAUCUUUGGGUAACAGCACAUGAACAUCCAAAUGACUUUGCAGGGUUCCCCGGUAAACACGCGUGGAUCAAUUCACCAGAGGCAAAACCUGUAAAAACAUCCCCUUUUUUGCACACUUUGUGUACACAGUGGGGUCAAUGCCAAAUGCUGAGCAGUGCAGUAUCCUUUUGUACUCUCUCCCCUUGCAGGCAGAAUGGACGGCUCCAACCAACCUGUAUUCAUGUGUGUUUUAAAAGAACUUGACGUCGAUGCUUGCGUCAUAUUGCUUUUAUAUUGAUCCAACUUUUUUUCAGAGCAGAUAAACCAAAAGCCAGCUUAAGUGGCUGCAUUAGUUAUAAUAGAUGCAUUACUAUUUCAUAACUCCCCUUCUAGCUUCCUAAAUAAUGGCUUGAAAUGUCCUUGAGUGGUAUCUAAUGUCCCCGUGAGCCUCCCCAUAAGCAACUGUUUUCACAUGGCAAUAGCAGCUAUAGGAAAUGCAGCCGUAUUUGAUCAAGUUAAGGACCUUAGCGAGGUCUGUACACAAGCAACACUGGGAGUCUCUUUAUGGGAGAAGUUACAGCAGGGUUGAGGUUAUCCUAUUCAUGCACCCGCCCCUACCCCACCCCAGCAUGCAAACGCACCCUCUAAAGGGGGGGGCAAUUCUACUUUAUAGGCAGCAUAAACAAACAUGCAAAUAGAACUUCCCUCCCAAAACAUUGUUAGCUUAUCCUUAAUUGGUCUGUAGGCAGCUUCAGUGAAAAACAGGCAUAUGUGUUUUUAAAAAGAUGCAGGGUGGUGUCAGAAUGCUUUGGGGACGCACAUAUUGACACGUGACUUCCUGUCGGGAUAUGCUCUGGAUGCACCCGUGCCAAAUAUAGAUCUUUUUCAUCGAAACAGAUGCCAUUAGAAACUAAUUUCCCUGUCAUCAUUUUGGCUCAAGUAGGAAGUAAAGUGUGUUAAAAAGCCACUAAAAAGGACUUCUUUUGUAAAUGCCUUGUAAUACAGUGGAACCUCCAAGGGCGAACACAAGCCCAGUUUCAGAAUAAUUUUUCCCAUUGGAAAUCAUCGAAAUGCAGGCAAACCUCCCUUUCCGUUGCUAAAAUUUAUGCUAAAAUGUUGCCUCAGUUUUUGUACAGUAUUGCACUUAACAAACUAGUCCGUUUGCCCUGUCCUGUGUCAAAGCACCCUACAUGUCCCUGACUCAAGGCCCGUGCAUUUAUUAUUGAGCGUGACUGCGGCUGCAAAUAACCCGCCAUGGGGCCAAAGAAAGUUGCGAGUGCCAGCAAUUUGAUAAAGGUGAGAAACACGAUUGCAUUUGAUCUCGCCAUGAUGUACAGGAAGCCUGUAUCAACAAUAAGUUCCAUCCAUUUACCAUUUAUAAUAACUUUGCAAUUUUUUCUGCAUGUAAAACUCCUACUAUUCUCUAUAAAAUGUAUUUUUGUUCAUAUUUUUGGGUGUUUUUAAUGAAUUGGACUUACACAACAGUCAUCCCUCGCAACAACAUCACGCCCUCACUGUAUCACGGUUUUUCAAAACUGCAUUAAUAAAUGAUCACAAAACAUAUGCAUAUAUAAGCACAUUGUACGUGUUCAUGGGCUAAAUUAAGCAUUUUCAAUCAUUGAAAUGGCUAAUUGAACGAAAAUGCAAAUACAAUGCAUUUAGAAGAUGUACAGUAGUGUAAUAUUUGUGACGUUGUGUGCGCCUUUACGAGGCGGGGUCUGGGAAGUGACAUCAGCCAGCUGCUGUAGAGCUGCUGAGUGUUAGCAUGGUUAGCAGUGUAGAGAGUGUCAGUGGGUGGCAUGAGUUGUGGCUGACAGCAGCUCCUGUGUGAAUGUUCACUGCACCGUUGCAGUAGUAUAUGUAAUGUCUGAUUUAUGUCUAAGACAUCUUAUUUGCUGUUAUUAUGUCAACUAUUUUUGGUAAUACAAGUGUAAAAGUGCAUAGGAGUGUUAUUUCAUGUCUAGAGGGCUCUAAUAAUGCUAAAAAUACACAUUUAGAAGGUCUUAAACAGGUUUUAUAUGCUCUAACUACAAAAAUAUUCCAUUUAUAAAUAAGGAAUCCUAAUUAGCAGAAAUGUACUGAUCAAUUAACCGUGAUAAACGAGGGACGACUGUAUUUUCUGAGAUUUUUUUGCCUCGGUUUUCAUACGUUUUGGUUUUUAUCUGACCUUUUGGAACAAAUGAAUGACAAAAACCGAGUUACUGCUGAAGAAAUAAUUUGUUGCGAGGUCAAACCGUCACCAUCGAGUCCCAAGUUUUAAGUCGCAUUUUAACAGUCACACAAGCUCCUCCUUCUUUUGGGCAGCAGUGGCUCAGCAAGGCAAAGCAGGCCGCUCGUUUGAGUCCUCGCGGCCUCCACUCGCUGUCGUUGCGUCCCUGGGCGAGACAGUUCACCCACCGUGCUGCCCACACCGGUAUGAAUGUGAAUGGAUAUUUGGUGGUGGUCGGAGACGCCGUAGGCGGGAAUUGGCAGCCACGUUUCCGUCACACUACCUCGGGGCAGCUGGGGGUACAGAUGUACAUUAGCACCACCAGUGUGUGACUGAGGAGUGAAUGAAUAAUGUGUUCACGCCAUAAAAUCGAAUCCAUCCUUCUUAUUAUUAAUAACUGUCACAAAAAAGCAAAAAAACAAACAAUCGAUGUUAUGCGUAUCGGCGUUUCGAACAAAUUUUUGGUCAAACUCCAAAUUGCACGGUAUCGGGUGGGUGUUUAACUUUGGAGGUUCCACUUUUUAUCAAGCGGUAGUGUACGUUUGUUGUUAUGGCAACAAUAUAGUAGCGGGGCUAUGAGUUAUUGCUCUACGCAAGCAGAGACCACACAAACCUGUGCGCAUGCAUCAACAGAAAUACCCCACUUAUGUCUGGUGAUACUGUACAGUACAUACAAUGACUGAUAUUGCUCUUUUCCAAUGCCUUUUUGGUAAGUGUCAUAUUAUUAUCAUAAAAAAAACAGGUAAGAAAUGGUCUCAUUUCCAAUACACAUUUUGAAAGUUGUGCAAACCCCGUUAAAAGAGUGCAGGAGUUAGAAUUAGUAGUCAUUCAAGUUCAAGAGAAUAUGGCUCUUGUUUUUUUUGUUGUUGUUUUUUUUAAAUCCGGUGCAAAAAGUGUGCUGUGUACUGUAGUCAUCUUCAUUUGUUGGCAGUAGAUGGCACCAUUACGCUGUGUGAGCACUGUAUUUCAUUGGCUGCCUUAACCACAUGUUCAUACCAGUCAACAGGUUCUCAUGACGAUUUAGUAGGAAAUUGUACAAAAUGCUCAGCACUUUUUUUGCAUGUGCGCUACCAGGAAGACACGCUGUUCAAAUCUUGCAUUUUUCCUCAGAAAUGCUAUCAAAUGCCAUCAUUUCAUUGCGGUUUGUGUCAGGGGAUUAUUGUUUGCAAAAAAAUAAAUAAAGCGUCAUUACCCUUCAAAAUAUGUACAUUUUCUAUGAAAAUACACCAAGUUUGUGUAUAAUAUCCUUCUAAAUUGUCACAAGAACGUGCUCUGACAGAAGUGAUUCAGAAAUGCAAUUAUUAGCACCUUUCACGCUGCCCAUUGUCUGCCAGUUUUCCGCGUACAAGCCUCUUUCACACAGAAAUCCUGUCAAAUUGCCGCAUCCCGCAUUUAUUUGUCUGUGCAUUUCACACAGAACGCAGCUGUCACACAGAGAUUCUGCAAACUAGCCGCGACAGAGAUUACAGCAAUAAGCCGUCUUUGCCCUUUUACGCAUAACUCGGCUAAAGCCGGACUGUGAGCGCUUUGUGCAGUGACACACAAUCACGCUUUGAACGCGGUGAAUUGCUUCCAACACAACAAACCAAGAAGAAAUUAGCCCGGCGUUGUGGAAUAUGCUUUCACACAGGUGACGUUCCGCCUCUGUUACACUCUGAUACUACUUCCGAAGCUGGAAAAUGGGCGGGUUGACGUUGUCCUUCCAUUCCGCGGUGGUGCUGUUCGCACAGAACAGCGACACGGGGAAAUAAGCUGGGAAAAUCCAGCUUUUAAGGGCAGCGUGAAAGCGGCUACAGACAAGGAAUGGUGAAGCAAAGUCAUCCUGCCAAUUUUAAGGCGGUAGUAUCAGAGCUGCAACGGAGGCGGGAUGGUGUCUGUGUAAAAAGGGAAUGCUGGAACGCAGGUGGAAACUUUCACAUGGACACUCCCUCUUCCUGCCCUGUUGUGUUGACUGCAAUUGCUGCUGUGUAGAAGCGCACAACUUCCCUCCCUCGGUGAGUUCUGUGCAAAAGGCAGCUUAUUUUUGGUGAUCUGUGUGAAAGGGGCUAAUAAUAUAAGCUAUGCUGAUGUUUAAGUGACGUUUUACGGCUUCAGUGACAGGCUUUAGUUCAGGUUUAGUUCCCAGUGAAAGGCUGGUUUAACCAAUUUAGUGCCAUUGGGAAUUUUUUGCUGUUUUCCCGCGUUAGUUCCCUUUUUUUCCUGUCAGCAGUCGCAAAAGGUGCGAAGGGAGGCAGAUUUGGGGCAGAGUGUCAGUGGGGACCUGAGUACACUGGUAACUACAGCACAUAAUAAUGGCUCAGUCUCCUGCAGGGAGGUGCCGGCGCAUCUAGGGAGUCGUUAUGAGACGGGACUGUUGGGUAGGAAGGGAAAAUGUGUGCCAUCACUGUGCUAGCUUGUCACUGGUGGCUGCUCCGCACAUUCCUCCAAACUCUGCUCUGCAUCCCGAGACUUUUUCCUCCUCUUGUUACCUAGAAACAAGGGGAACACGUCGACAUUUAGCUCCAAAAAAAGGGAAUAUUACUCUCAUUCUUAUGCACGUUGAAGCGAAGUGGAAAUACCUCGAGUUGAACACCCUUGAUGUCAGAAUUUGAGAAAAAUAGUUGGGGGUGGGGGAAAAAAUGUAGCUUUAAACUGCCUGAUAUCACACAAGCCCUCCAUAAAAAUUCAAAGUUUUGCUGGUUUUGUGAUUAAAUUAGGCCUGUCAAAUGAUUACAAAUUUUAAUCUAAUUAAUCACAGUUGUCAAAGGAAUUAAUGAGGAUUAAUCAUGUGUGAAAUAUUCAAAUUUUUACUGUAUUUUAUUAAAAGAAAGGACAGGACGUGAUGAGGUGUGCGUUUGCGUGUGUUAGCGGCUCCAAAUGAAGUGAAACUUUAAAUCAAGCUAAAAGAUAGCACACAUGUCUGAAAAUAUAGCUGGCUAACACUAGUUGCUUUAAUAGUAGCACAUCAUGUGAUCACACUUGAACUGCGUCACUACGAACAAUGUGGGGUUGCGUUCAGGUACAGACGUAGGACUUGUGAGUCAUUUGCGUCCGAGCCCGCAGGCAGCGUCAGCAUCUGUGUCAGCAUGUGAGUGGGUGGCCACGAAGUAACCCAUCACCUGUUGCUAAGAUACAGCAUUCGCUGUGUGCCGCGUCUGACACAAAGAUUUAGGCGACACGCUGGGGUGUGUGUGGGAGCAAAGUGACGGCUGAUGACACACUCACUCAGUUUACGCAAAAGCUUCUUUCCUAUGUUUUCCUCCGAGCUGGAGAGCGAGCGAGAGCUGACGUAAGGAGAGGUGGACGUCUGAGAGUCUGUAGGCACGUCUGAAAAGUAGAAAAGAGCAAUUGCAUGUUUUUACAGCCUGGCUGUUAUUUUAUCGAAGGCAUGUGUUGACCUCAAUGUAAGACGAUCCCGCUUUUUCAAGCACAAAUGUUUUGAAAAAUAUUUGCGAUGACUGUAGAUUUAAAAAAAAAAAAAAAAAAAAAAAUUAGCAUCAUAACUCCUCUUCUGUUUGCUAUCUUGCUAACAACGCUAGGAACGUUUGUGUGCGAGUGACAGGAAGAAAAAUUCUGACUCACUUCGAAAGAAGUCGUCAGGCUCCACCUGCUGGUUUGCAUGUAUAAAUUGCUAUAAGACAACCUGUCCUUUUCAAGUCAAUAUACGAUGUUUUGGAAUUAUUAAUAUAUAAAAGCUGUUAAAAGUGAAUAAUGUAUAUAGUUAAUAUAAAUAAUAACAUAAAAAAACCUAACUUUAACUACCGGUAACUCAUAUUUUGCAGUAUUUUGUCGACUGGUUCAUUCUUAUGACAUGUUUAAAUUGUAUUUAUUCCUAACAAUAAAAUGUAACAGCUUAUUAUUUGAUGUCAUAAAGACUCAUAAGGUUCACUUGCUUAUGCUCUUAAGCGCUAUUCCAUUCCAACAAGAACAAUAGUAGUAAUGACAGUGGUAAUCAUAUAACUGUGAUUUAUUUAGCGCUGUUCAAAGGCCCCAAGCCUAUUUUAAUAUAUUUUUAUGUGUGUACUGCAUGUCGGGUACGUAAUAGUAUUGUUGUUAUUCAAGGUGGUGUGUGAGUUGUUUUUUUUUAAUGGAGUAUUAAUUAAAAUUAUUAAUAUAACAGUUUUAUUUAAUAAUAUAAAAUAGUUAUUCAAUUAGAUCAUGUACUAAUUUUAAAAAUGCAAAAAAAAGUUUUACAGAAAAUAUUUCCUCGCUAUUUUUAGGGUGCUUGUUUACCCGUUUCAACCGUAGGAUGUCAUCAAACUACUUUUUAAAAUAGAAAAACCCACUUGACCAACAAUGAUAAUAAUAUAAAAGCCUAUUAAAGUGCAAUAUUAACCAGGGCUCGGUGUCUUAGUCAAGUGAAUAAAUCUGACCAUUUUCUCCGUAAUUCUCCGGUCGAUCCUCUUGGAUGUAGGGAAUGUCGUCCAUGCGGAGGAAGACUGUGUCAUUGGGACUCCUCUGGCCGUCUGAUUUACUGCCUGUGGGGAGAACGGCAGCCGUCAGCACCAAAUCAAAAGUAUUUCUCAAGGUACGUGUAAUUGUAAUGGACACUGGAGGAAAGAGGAAUAACAUGGGAGUGAGUAAAAAAAGAAAAGCAAAACAAAUAUGUUUCCAACUACAAAUGAACUUUCUUCUGUUGCUUCUUCUGUCUGUAAGCUGUCGGACUGAGUAGUCCGGUAAGUAGAACCCUCCCGUUGAGAGCUGACCCACGCUGCCUCCACUCAGCAGCGAGUCUGAUUGGUUCAGACCGCUGCUGCGGGAACAAAACCUCUGACCUGCAGAAGAAAAGAGAAAAAAAAUAACUGCAUUUUCCGGGGGGAAAAAUGACCUCUGAAGUCAUGCAAAACUUGAACAUUUAAUGAUUGACUCCUCGAGUGCUUUGCUUUUUCUUUGGCUUUUGUUGUCUGACCUGAGAGGUUCCACUGCUCAGUUAAACCUUUAUUGGCUCGACCGAGUUUUUACACUAGCUGACUCCUGACCUACAGUAUAUGCUUUUAUACACCCCCAGUCUAAGGAUUAAGUGAUAUUAAAUUGAGUUUUUGGAAUUACUUGAAGCCUCCCACUAAAAUGCAAAAUAUGAACACCCUUGAAGACAGAAAAUGUCCGUAUGGGACACUGAGAACCUUUCCUGCUGGCUGUACACUCUUAGCUCACAUAAUCCCAGUCAGGUCGUGUUCUUCCACUAAAUCUCCUUUUUUUAAUUACUUUAUUCCCACAACUGCUGCUACUGUGUGCAGCGACUUGCUGGGAUUAAGACUUCCAGCACAGCGCACGUCAAUUAGUUCCCCCUCAUUAUCAUUUGCUCCCUGUUGCCGUCAUCAGCGUGGCCCGUAGCUCACAGUCAGCAUGUAUUGAUGUUUGUCACGGGUGUGCUUACCGAUUGGCAGGGGUGGGAUGAGUGCUGGCAUGCCAUAGUAGGAAAAUGCUCCAUUUUCAAAGCGGAGGGCCUCCUUUCCAAUUUCUACCUCCACUCGUCCCUGCAACAUCACACGAUGUCACGACCGCAUCGACUCGACAUUUCAUCGAACACACCGAAACAGGAAAUGUUCAGGCUGCACUGUUAAUGCGAUACUAGAUGAGCACUUUAUUGAAAUUACCAGGAUUUUGUGCAAAAACCAAUUCAUUUUUUUUAAAGGAUGUCCAAUUUUGUCCUGAAUGACAAAAAAUAUUAAUCCAUCCAUCGUCUAUGCCCCUUAUCAUGACUAGGGUGGCGGGUAUGCUGGAGCUGACCAGCUGACUUUGGGCGAGAGGCGGGGUACUUGUCGCCAGCCAAUCGCAGGGCACGUAAAGACAAACAACCAUUCAUACCUGUGGACAAUUUAGAGUUGCCAAUUGACCUAACAUGCAUGUUUUGGAAUGUGAGAGGAAACCAGAGUAUGUAGAGAAAACCCACACAGAGAUGUUCAACGGAGAUUCAAACCCACAUCUUUCCGAUCUCCUGACUGUGUGGCCAACAUGCUAACCACUGGGCCACUGUGCAGCCCGUUUUUCUACCACUUUAAAAAAAGUCAAUCUUUUCAAACUACUUCAGUCUGAAAUCUACAUAUGAAAUAGUCAUAUAUUUGGGGGAUUUUGAGCAGUGCGACUACCUGGCGACCAGUCCAGGGUGUACGCCAGCUGGGAUAAGCUCCAGCAUACUGCUGCAACCCGAGUGAGGACAACCGGCAUAGAAAAUGGAUGGAUGGAUAGCAUUUAAAGGACAGUAUAUUUACAUAACCCCAUAGUUUAAAAAAAAAUAUCAUUAUCAUAAAUAAUUUCCGUAAAAUACAUAUCAAAGACUAUUUGCUUAUUAUUAUGAUUAGGCUCCGAGAUGGGUCAUUGAUUGGCAGCAACAUUGAAUUUCAUGUGUCGUUAUCGUUCUGUGGCUUACAACAGUGGUGUGAGAAAGUGUUUGCCCCUUCCUGAUUUCUUAUUUUUUUGCAUGUUUGUCACACUUAAAUGUUUCAGAUCAUCAAACACAUUUAAAUAUCAGUGAAUGACAACACAACUUAACACAAAAUGCAGUUUUUAAAUGAAACUUUUUAUUAUUAGGGGAGAAAACAAAUCCAAACCUACAAAAGUGAUUGUCCCCUAAACGUAAUAACUGGUUGGGCCACAACUGCAAUCAAGCAUCCCAAAUGGCUUUGAAUGAUGUUCUGCUAAACUCGGUGUGACGUUGGUUUACCUGCAGGAUGAGGACGAAGUAGUCGACAGGUUUGUUCCUCUGGAAGAGGUAGUGUUGAGGAGCGUGUUUGUUCUUGGGGUUGAACUUGAGUUCUUGCACCACACUGGGAUGCUUGAUGAGACGGAGCAGGAUCUUCUCCGACAGGUGACACGGCCUGAAUGGCUCCACCUCUGACAGUUAGAGCGGGAAAAAGAAAUAGAGAGGGAAAAAAAACACAAUUUACACCGGAGGCCUCUAAACCAAUCAUUUUUAACUGGUGGGUUGUGGCCCAAAAGUGGGUCGCAGAGCCGUUUUCAGCGGGUCGCGUGUCUCAAAACAAAAAAAAAAGAAAAAGUAAAAAUCCGAUGUCUGUGAAUGCACCUUGCAUUCGCUUGCUAUGCCGCCAUGAGGCGCAUGCCUAUGCUGCCUUAUCGUUGCAAACAGUCCCUUGAAAUAUAAGAUAUUUGAGAAGUUUGAGCUGAAAAAUGUCUGCAAUUUUGCCUCCGCCUGUCACUGACUGAGGGAUGAUGGUGAGUCCCGCAGCUAAACCCGUUCAGAACCACUGCUCCAAACCUCCAAAAGUGGCACAAUUUGGAGUUCAACCCAAGUAUGUCCCAAAACUAAAUUUAGAGUUCAAACCAUCAUCAUGCAAGAUGUGAGCAUCUAAAGCAGGGGUGUCCAAACGUCGCAUACUGAAAAAUCAAAAGAUGCGGGGGGCCGUGAUGACUGAAACCAAUCCAAUGUAGACAUGCUAGCAUAUUAUCCAUAAUGCAUAAUGCAGUAUGCAUUAUGCAUCUCAAUUAAAUGAAAGACGUUCAGCUGUUAACUAAAACACUGACACUUGUAUGACUGCAACAGUUUGACACUGGAACAGAUGAAUUCACUUUUCAGUUAUUCCGUAUAUGGAAAUAAUUGUUUUAAUAUUCAACAUCAGAGGUCAAACACCAUCUGUUCCACCUUUGAAUUGUAAACUUUUAUGUCGCAUUUUCUCUAAUAAUAACAAUAACAAUAAGAAACUAUUAUAAAGUAAUAACAAUAAAUAUCAAUAUUAUUAAAUAACAAUAAUACAUAAACAAUAGUAAAAAUAUAUUGUAUAAUGAAGCAUUCUGUUUUUUUUAUAACUUUAAUGUUGUAUGAUUUUAGUGGCGUGUUUUGCAGGUGUACCUGUGGCCAAGAAACGAUGUGUUGCCAACAACAGCUGGGGCGAGAUCUUCACAUUCAGCUCAUUUUCUGCCACUUUGAAGAUGGAAAAGUCCUGCUGUUUUCUCUCGUGGUGCGACACUCGUCUUUUCGUCCGAUUGUCAGCUGGGCAACACAAGAGGGAAAGCCAGACUUGAUGAUCUCUUCGAUGACGUCCUCCAGGGUGACAAUGCCCAUCACCUCGUAGAAGGGGUCUCCCUCGCCCUCAUUGUUGACCCUUUGCACCACAGCCAGACACUGCACCGCCAUGAAGCAGCCCUUCACUCACCGGCCACGUUUGAUACACCUGCAUAAUCUAACGAGUGUGACAUUCCCUCAGCAGGGUGCCUGAGCGGCAGGAGCCUUCAAUUCAUCAAAAUGAGAAGGAGCUGAGAGACAGGAAAGGGAAAGGCAGAGAGGCCCAUGGGUGAGCUGACCAAAGCGAUCCAUCAUAAUCCUGCGGCGGGAUGAAGCAAUGGACCUCUUGACCUUGCACAUUCACUUCAAAGGCUCCUCACGCCAUAGGUGGUGGGAGUUUGAGGAUGGGAAGCAGAGCAUAUGGCACCUUAAAAGCCAGCACCGCCUUCAUCAUGGUCUACAGAACGGGAAAGGAUUCCCCUCAGUGUGGCAUUACCUCUCUUAAAUUCCUCCAGCAUCACAUCCAGCUUGGUGUCAUUGAAGACGCAGUGCAUGGGGUGCUUGUAGAACUCAGUGAUGGUCUUCAGAGGGGUGCAGUCGUCCGGGUCAACAAAGGUGAGGUCCUUCACAAACAGAAUGUCCACUAUGUUGGACCGCUCGUUCUCAUAGACUGGGAUCCUUGUGAAGCCACUCUGCAUCACAUCAGACAUGGUGGCAAAGUCCAACACAGCAUCUGACGAGAGCAUGUAGCAGUCGGAUAGAGGGGUGAGAACGUCCUCCACCGUCUUGGUCCUCAGCUCCAGAGCUCCUUGGAUGAUGUUGAGCUCUUCCUUGACCAGGUCGUGGUAUGGAUCUGUGACUCUCAGCAUAGCCACCAGCUUCUCCCGUGUGUAGAAGCUGCUGAUCUCCUGGUGGAGCAGGAUGUCCAGGAUCUUGGAGACAGGGUAGGCAAUGGGGAGGAAGAGGAGCAUCAGGAGCCUGGUGGCGCACAGGGUCUUGGAGGCGAUGGCGAGGCUGUGCCGGGACGCCACAGAAUGAGGCAAAAUCUCCCCUAUGAAGAAUAUCCCUAAAGUGCAUGAGGCUGUGGAGAGGACGGUCAUGCCUAAAAUCUGGCACAUCCAAACCACAAAGCAUGUGUUGGUGAGCACGUUACCCAGCACUACAGUGCACAGGAUGUAGUUGCCAUGCUUACGCACAGACUCUAUUUUACGUGCGUACUUCUGCUCCUUCUCUGUGCCGCUGUUCUGCAGGACCCGCAGCUCCACAGGGUCCAGGGCGAGCAUGCUGAUAUUGAGCCCGCUGCAGAGCGCGGAGAGCCCCAGGAGGAGCAGGGAGACUCCCGCUUGCAGCCACGCGUCCGCCUCUGCCGGUCUCUCCACCACAGCCAGCCAGAAGUCUCUGGUGCUGAAGUGUUCCCAUCUGAUGCCGUCAAAAGCGCACAUGGAGUAGUACUUCACCGCCUCUCCUCGGCGUAGAUGCUUGGCAAGAAGCUCCACCAGCACCGAGUUGUGACUGGAGGUGGAUUUGAAAGAGCCCAGUAGUUCAAUGUCAGAGCUCCGGGCGUUCUCCUCCUCGCAAGGGUUCGCUCUGGACCUCCCCCCGCUGUCCCCUUCUUGCUCCUCUAUGAAAGCGAUCCACGGAGCUGCUGGAGCUGAGUCAGCUGCACCGCUCCAGUUCAUGUUGGGACGCUCCGAGUAGUACACCCGUAAAAUGAAGCGAGUCCCCUCCGUGGCUCUCAGGACGCCAUCCUGCACGGACAGAUCCCCGCUUUGGGUGUCCUCCGGCCGGACACCGAGCAGAGCUGAAGUCGGUGCUGGCAGCCAGGAGAGGAGGAGGAGGAGGAGGAGAAGGAGGUGUAGGAGGUGAGGGAUGGCGGUCAGAUGCAGAUGAUGCAGGAUGCGGCAGCGAGCAUCCGCAGCAUCCACAGCCAUCAUGCUGAAUGAAGUAGUGGAGGGGAGUUGGGUCACGUGGUGUGCGGAUGGAGCAGCUGCAUGGGUGGUCGUACAGCCAUGGGGUGAGACUCACUGCAUACACUACCCUUGCUCAUCCAAUCAGCAGUUAGAACGCAGUCUAGAUGCAUUCAAGGACUUACGGUGAGUCGGAUAUUUCAGAUUCUUUUUGAAAAUGCACACGUCCCCUACUUCGGUGUUAAAAAAAAAAUCACCAUGCUCGGCGAAGGGCACCUAUAGACAAACAUUCACACUCACAUUCAUAUUUAUGGAUCUCCAGUUAAAACUUUGCAUGUUUUUCGAAUGUGGGAGGAAACCGGAGUACCCGGAGAAAACCCACGCACGCACGGGAGAGCAUGCAAGAAGGAGGCUCAAGUGCCGCAUGCCGUGCCGACCCCUGUUCUAAGUCAUUUUUAAUUAAGUCAUGCCAUCCCUUAGUAGCUGCUUUUGUCGUCACAGCUUCACAUUAAUGUAUGCAUUUCAGCAUGCAACAGUAAAAAAAUAAGAUCGCAUUUCUGAAAAAAUGUGACCCGUUCCGACAAAGCCAGUGUCAUUUUCUUAAAUCAGUGCCCUCAAAUGAGCAAAACAGCAUGGUUUUCCUUCUUGUUUCUGCAACUUCAUCAAAUUUUGUAGACCUGUGUAAUUAAUAUCAGUCAUUAAUUACAACUUCACUAACCAUUAAACUCUGCAGAGUAGCCCACAGUAAAAACUAGUUGGUGUCUGAAUGAAAACUAGCAUGACAGCAGGAGGAAAUGCUCUAUUGUAGCUAGCAAGUGUUAGAAACGAUGCUAACGUUAGGUUACAUAGCACCUAGGUGCAUGCCACUCACACACACGCAGUGCAAACAGCUGCUUAGCUAACGUUAUCACUAAAUAAUAUUACUGUGUUAACAAGCCAAUGUUACUAUUGGCUGGCAUGCAUAAACCAACACAACAAGACCUUACUAACAAGUGCCUUAAACUUGGUUCAUUUCAUCCUUCCAACGUUUAUCCAUUGACCACAAAAAUGACAUUACCUUUUCACCACAUCUGACCGGUUUUGGAAGGCCUCGUGAAAAAGAGCGGGCUCCGCUGUUGCAGCACUCGGAAGUAGCCACGUGUCUGUCGCGAACGAAUCGUCUCUAAGAGCCGGCUCUUUGAGAUGAACGUCAGGAUCCGCUCGCCAAUUUGGAGCCAAUUGGGAGCCGAUCAGUUUUUUCAUGGUCUUUUUUUUCUGUUAAAGGCGAAUGUCAUUGGUCAAGAUGUGUGGCGGCGUCUCCGUGCCCACGCUGAGCAGGCUGUGGUGCUCUUAGAGCCCAUUCAUGAGUAAUUUGCAUGAAGAGAUUUUACCUAUUUUGAUUUGUCGUCUAUUGAGAUGAGUCUUUGUUUUGGAUUUUAUUUAUAAUAUAACAUUAUAACAUAUUUUUGUAGCUGCACAUUGAGGUUUAAAUAAAUUCAAAUUACACUGAAAUGAUAAACCUUUGAUAUUGUGUAUUUUUUACAUCAGUAAUUAAUUUUACACAGUACACAUAAUUUGGUAAGGAAUUCAUUUAAGACAACAACAAAAAAAAUCUUAAGAGGCGUAAAAGUUGUCUCUUUUUAGUGAGCCUAGACAAAAGAACCCGCUUUCCAUCCCUACUGGAAGAUCUUCUUCUUUUUAGUCUUCUUUCUCACUUUAACGUCAUACCGCCACCUGCUGUACAAUUACGUGUUUGAAUUCUACCAUUGUAUGCUGUGAUAGUACAGCGGAUUUUGAUGACGUUACUUUACUGUGAAAUAACUGUGAAAUAAUUUGUUGUGAUCGUACAGGGGAUUUUGAUUACAAUAAUUUACUGCGAUAGUAAUGUUAAAUGCUGUGAAAUCCUGGUAAUAUUUUACAGUGCAGAUUUGUAUUUACUGUUGUAAUCGUUUCAGUUAAAAGUACUACAAAUAUUUUGCACUGUGCGUCAAUCCACAUUUUUAUUUAACAGGAGCAUCGGUUAGGCUCCAGUGUAUUCCAAUUGUACUAUUUUGAAAACAGAUUUUAGUGUAGGCCUGUAUUUAAACCAGAUGUUAAAUAUGACGCCGAAAUGACGAAUAGACGAGGCUUCUUUUUACAUUUUUGCGAUGGAAGAAUACAAAUGAAAGAUUUUGUUUCCCUUUGGUUGCAAUGAGGCGCUCGUGCGUAAAACCUACAAAAAAAAGUGCUGUGCUGCUCCAGCUAUGAAACCUUAGCGAAGCUCUAUGUUUUAUGUUGGAGUUUUUACAAAAAGAGGAUUUUAACUUGUGCUUCACUCACGUGUGUUAUGUUUGUCAUGCAGUUUGCUUGUGUGAGACAUCCGUGACCCCAAACAACCACUGACCGCCUGCGGUGCCCUUGGCUCUUGUGCGUACUGCUAAAAAGUUUAUGUGCACGUCGCUCUGCUCUGCACGGAGAACAAAAAGUCAGCGUGAGUUCACAUGCGCGCUGUUACUAAUAUUAAAAUGAAGAACUAGUAGGCCGACUAUUUAAUAUUGCUUCAGUCAUAACAAAAUGUAGUCAAGUGUGUAAGUGUUAAAUAAAACAUAAUAUAUUACACAUACACACAGUGCAUUUCUAUAUUUAUUUAUAAAAGUGUGUAGAAAAGUUACAGAUUGAAUUGAUUGAAUUGCCACUGUGUUAUACAAUUGCUAGCGAUUUAGAUGCUAAAAGCAUAUUGUGCAAAAAAAGUCAUUAAAUGAUUGUUUCAGGAAUGUUAUAAAGACGGUAAAUAAUAACCUAUUAAGACUGUAUUUUACAAUAUAUAUGAUGAAACCCGCUGAACAAGUUUGAAAGCAUAUUGUAAGUGUUGAACUAACAUGUCAGUUACAUUUGCCGCACUUGCAGAGCAUGCAGUGAAUUGAACAUUUAAUCCUAACACUAACUAUUAACUCUUAUCUAUAAAAAACACAAUUAUAGAAAUGACUACAAUUUAAACUUAAAAUAAUAACAGUUUCACGACAAUAGAUGCAAUAGAUAGUGACUUUUAUUUUACCCUCAAUAGUAUACAGUACAUGUAAACUUAAAUGUUGCCUUCAAGCUUUAAUAUAGUUGUAAUUGGCAUUAAGUGACAUUUAAUUUCAUUUAUUGGUACUGUAAUGAAUGAGCUAUUUAAAUGCUAACAUAAUGUAAUUCCUUUUACGGUAUACUGUGCAAAAAGCACAAUUAAGUUUAAUAUUUUAGCAAUGUUAUAACGACCAUAAAUAAUCAUGAGAAAACAAAACAAAGUGUAUUCAAGUUGCAUAUAUAGUGCUAUUUGUAGAACACGCAGACUAAUGUACCUCAUGGCUGCAGUAUUUCUAAGGCUGCGUAAGUGAACAGCUGUGUAAAAAUACACAGAAUUAAAGUAAAAAUGUACAAUAAAAAAACAACAAUUGCACAACUGUGUAAAGUUGCAGGAAUCUAACUUUCUUGAAUGAAAGCCAAUGCAUGUGUUUGCCAACAAAUGCGCGUAGUGAAAAAGUGGAUUUUAACAAGUAUAGGACAGUGGUGCACGGGGAGGGACGGUACUGUUCUCCGCCCUCUCUGCAGCCUGUUACAAGUGGGACGGCUGCCUCUGGGCAUGCGCACUAGUGAGCAGUUCCCAAAUGGGGGUGGGGGGUAGUGGGGUUUGGACGACCAGGCAAGACGACAGAAGAUCCAGAUCGUGGGGAAAAGGUGAUCAACCUCCACUGACGUUUGCAUUCCAAGCGCCAAGAUGCACAUUGUCUCAGAGAGAGGACUGUCACGCUCCUCCUGGUUCUCCUGGUCCUGGUUGGCAUCCUUGCUGGUGCUGCCAGUCACCUCUUCUUCCUACUCCCCUUCCUCUUUCUCAAAGUACCAGAGAGCUGCUGCAGCCAGUGGGAGUCGGUCGGGCUUCCUUGGAAGGACGCUGAUUCUCCUGGACGUCAACACCCGCAGCCCCGUCAGAGUCCUCAACGACAACUUCCUGUCUUUGCAGUUGGACCCGUCUAUCAUCAGAGAUGGCUGGCUGGACUUUCUCAGUUCAAAGCGUCUCGUGACCCUUGCGCGAGGCCUGUCUCCAGCCUACCUGCGCUUCGGCGGGAAGCGGACUGACUUCCUGCACUUUAACAACCAGAAGAACUUGGCUAAAUUCAGAGGGCCGGGACCCGACUACUACCUGAAGAACUACGAGGACGAUAUAGUGCGCAGUGACAUUGCGCUGGACAAGCAGAAUGGUUGCAAAGUGGCUAACCACCCUGAUAUCAUGCUGGAGCUCCAGAGAGAGAAGGCUGCCAGCACACAGCUAGUCCUGCUGAAAGAGCAAUUGUCCAACAUCUACAGCAACAUCACAAUAUCAGCCAGGUCUUUAGACAAAUUGUACAACUUUGCCGACUGUGCUGGUCUGCACCUGAUUCUGGGCCUCAACGCGCUGCAAAGAAACCCCGACAACUCCUGGAACACGUCCUCCACUCUGAGCCUCCUCAAAUACAGUGCUGGCAAGAAAUACAACAUCUCCUGGGAGUUGGGCAGCGAGCCUAAUGCGUACCGCAGCAUGGUGGGCCGCGCCGUCAAUAGCACCCAACUGGCUCAGGACUACGCCAAGCUACGGACCCUGCUCCAGUCGGUACGCUACUACAACCGAGCUCACCUUUAUGGCCCAAAUGCUGGAAGACCACGGAGGAACGCUAUCCUGCUUUUGGAUGGAUUCAUGAAGAAUGCCGGUUCUGUUGUUGAUGCUGUUACGUGGCAACAUUAUUUCCAGGAUGGCCGGGUGAAAAAAGUGGAGGAUUUCUUAAAGACACGUUUGUUGGAUACCCUGAGAGAACAGAUCACUAAAGUAGCCAAGGUUGUGAACACACAUACGCCCGGUAAGAAAGUGUGGCUGGGUGGACUCGGUCCAGCAUGGGCAGGAGGCAUCAGUAAUCUAUCGGACACAUACGCUAGUGCUUUCCUGUGGGCUAACACUCUGGGAAUGGCUGCUGUUCAGGGAAUUGACGUUGUUUUACGCCACUCGUUCUUUGAUCACGGAUACACGCAUCUUGUGGACCAGCAUUUUAACCCUUUACCGGAUUACUGGUUCUCUCUGGUCUUCAAGCAUUUGGUUGGGCCAAAGGUUUUAGCAGUGCGGGUUGCCGGACUGCAAAGGAAGCCCCAAUCAGGACGAGUCAUACGAGACAAACUGCGCAUUUAUGCCCACUGUACCAGCUACUCCAAUCACAACUAUCUGAGAGGCUCCAUAACGAUUUACAUCAUCAACCUGCAUCGAUCGCGGAAGAAAAUUAAGUUGGCGGGGACGUUGCGGAACAAGACAGUGCAUCAAUACCUGUUGCAGCCCUUCGGUAACGAUGGACUCAGAGCCAAACACGUGCAGCUGAAUGGCGAAAGGUUGUUCAUGCUGGACAAUGAGACAUUCCCGGACUUCAAGCCCAAAACCUUGCGGGCGGGACGGACUAUAGCCAUGCCUCCCAUGACCAUUGGCUUCUACGUCGUGAAAAACAUAAACGCCUACGCAUGCCGAAGAUAACAGAGACUCACCCUUUUUCAAAAAAAAAGAGACCUCAUUUGUUUGACUCUUCUCUGCAAGACGGAGGAAGGACACAGUGGACAGUUCCAAAAGUCUACACAAAUUCUGUAGGGGAAUUCAGAAUUGAUUCGAUUAAGCUCAACUUUCUCUUGACUGGCUCAUCAAGUCUUCCAAGCGAAUGUUAUCCUCUCGAUCACUUCCCACGUGAAAGGGGAAAAACUGAGAGCAAAUUCAGACCAGGCAACCUUGUUGACAUAUUCUCUCCUCAAAGAGAAACUAGCAUGAAGUUUACAUGUGGUUUACUGAUGAAGCUACUGAUGUGUAUGUCCAGUCUUUUAUGCACAGCGCUCAAUGGAUGUGUUUCUUCCCCCAAAACAUAUCAAGUGUCUUCCAGAGAAAAUGUGUUUUGUUUUUAGUGUGCGUCAAUGUUGCUUUGCGGCACACAGGACAGUAGAUUACCACAGACAAGGCAAGAUGAAGAUUUAACGUGCCCCGUCCAUUUAAAGUUAUAGACGCAGAAAAUUCUAAAAGCAAGUUUUAUUUUUUGUUUUUACCCUAUUGUCAUCACAGCCUUACAAUGUACAGUCCUCUGGUGCUGCUAGUUUGAUAUUUGAUAUAUUGUGCACAAAUUUACUGUCAUUACAAUCCCAAAUCAGUGAAAGUCGGGAAAGUGUGACACCACAACUUCUCAAUUCCUCCAGAACCAUAAUUUUAUUUUUCCGUUGUUGUUUUUUUUAAUGACAGAACUCUUGGUAUGUUUUCUAUUUAAUCAGACCUAACAUAAAACAUCUUGUGCGGCUUGUGUGCAAUAAAAACAAGUUCAAGUCAAUUACAUACUUUCCCAUAAUUUUCUGAUUUUGGUUUUGCUUGACCUAAUGUACAUAACAGAAAAUACAUGUGUUCAGCUAUAUUUUUACUUGCCUAUAGUACACAUUUAUUUAAAUAAUUGUUUUUGAUGUAUUUUGUUUUGUUUUUCUCCGAUUAACGUGGUAAGGAUGCAUGAUCAGUCCAUUUGGCUAUUUACCGUAUUGACCCAAAUAUAAGAAUCUUUUUCAAAACCAUUUUUUUAAAUAUCAAAAUUUAAAUGUCAAAAUAAGACAAAAAAAUGUAUAUUUAAAACAAAAAUUCUGCAUUAGUGAAAUACCACAUGUUGGAUUGCAAUAAAAAAAUGAUACAUAUAUUCAUAUUUCUUAGCUGCUUGGAAGUUGUUUCAUGUGUGGCUUGCUAACUCGUCCAACCCGCGUGGGUUUCUGUGUUCUGGCUGCAUAUCUCUCAGGCUCUGGUCUUUGUGAGUGACAGGAAGAAAAGCUCUGACUCGCUUGGGAAGUUGUUGGUGCCACCUGUUGGUUUGCAUGUAUAAAUUUCUAGACUGUGAAUAUUUUUCAGGCUUUUUUUUUUUUUCUAGGGAGAAAAACCUUUCUUCUAUUUUGGGUCAAUAUGGUACUUAAAUGAGUGUGGACAGAUCAUUAGGAAAAUUUGGAAACAUCAAAACUUUACCAAAUAACUAUUUAAAAUCUAACCUAAAUGUGACAUUGACAAUGACCGAGAACAGUAAGCCAAAUAUCAUUGAAUUAGGCAGAUAACUCAGUGCAUCCAUAUCACGUUGCUGAUGUGCUAUGAACUUAUAGAACUCUGUAUGUGUAAAAUAUGUGUAUGUGUAUUGUGGAGGUGUUCAUAUUUUUGGAAAGCAUUAUUUUAUUAUAUGAAGUGUGAUUGUUUUAUAUAUAUUUUUAGUAAAAAAAAAAAAAAAAAAAAAGAUAUAAAAAUGGGUGACAUAUGAGGGGUGACUGAGAGGAUUUAACUUGGUACAGUUUCUCUCUAGAUACCACCGACGGUGACGCGUCUUCCAAGGAAAGAUUCCACAGCCACAGCACUGGGUUUCCUGUCCAUUUUGAUGGCCUUCCACCAUUUCUGCCGCACUGAAACGUAGUUUAUCCUGGUAAUUGUGGUGCCCUUCACCAAGAAAUCCAUCAUCACUACACCGAGUGCCUCCCAAAGAGACCAGAAGAAGACAACGAGAAUAACCUUGACUUCCAAGGGUUGGACACAAGCCUUCCUUGGAGGUGGUGAGUGAUAAUGCUGCAUUGCAUUGACUGGUUUUAGUCUCUGCAUCAUAGGGAUGGAGCCAUGUUUCUUCUAGAAUGAUAAGUCUGUUGAUUUGUGUGCAAAUGGUCAUGAAAGAGCUUGACAACUGUGCACACUUUUAUGACAUCCAACACAAGAGCUAUAACAAAAGGUUAAGCCAUGUUGUCUUCUUUUUGGAGAUAUUAUGUCACCAUCUCCAACUGUCAAAGAAGCUUAUUCCUGAAACAAUCAAAAUAAGUGAGCACUUAAAUAAAAAACUAUCCAUUUCACCCGUCUUGGUACACACACACCUGCGCAUGCACGUACAAAUAGUAACAAAAUUGAGAAAGCAGAUGUUAGAGCUGCACAAAGCAGCUGCUAAUGAGGGAAACCUGGUCUAAAUGUGUCGACAUCGUGCAGACGUGACCUGGACGUGGUUAACACUUUGUACCGCCAAAGUCAGUGUUCACUACACCCAAUGAAGGCUGCACAUACAACAUGCAACAGUCAGACCACAACAGUAUGGCACACAAUUUUGAAAAGCCCACGAGAAAACAGAAUGUCCACAUGUAACGGGUCUGAA